RNAcentral lists this small nucleolar RNA (155 nucleotides) under Chlamydomonas reinhardtii. RNAcentral describes it as "CrACA03 snoRNA". The record is from RNAcentral. Lineage: Eukaryota; Viridiplantae; Chlorophyta; Chlorophyceae; Chlamydomonadales; Chlamydomonadaceae.
GCGUCCUUUAUUUCCUGGCGGCCCCUGCCGUCUGGCUUGGCCCUUGGGUAUGCUGGGACGCCAAACUAAUCACAGCGAGCGGGCACCCGCCCUGGUCUGGCACUCCGCAGGGUACCCGUGCCUGCGGGGUGCCGCGGCAGCCCCUUGUUACAUUG